UCAGGAUGAACGCUAGCGACAGGCUUAACACAUGCAAGUCGAGGGGCAGCAUAAAAGUAGCAAUACUUGGUGGCGACCGGCGCACGGGUGAGUAACGCGUAUGCAACCUACCUAUCAGAGGGGAAUAACCCGGCGAAAGUCGGACUAAUACCGCAUAAAACAGGGACACCGCAUGGUGAUAUUUGUUAAAGAAAUUCGCUGAUAGAUGGGCAUGCGUUCCAUUAGGUAGUUGGUGAGGUAACGGCUCACCAAGCCGACGAUGGAUAGGGGAACUGAGAGGUUGGUCCCCCACACUGGUACUGAGACACGGACCAGACUCCUACGGGAGGCAGCAGUGAGGAAUAUUGGUCAAUGGGCGAGAGCCUGAACCAGCCAAGUCGCGUGAAGGAAGAAGGAUCUAUGGUUCGUAAACUUCUUUUGCAGGGGAAUAAAGUGCAGGACGUGUCCUGUUUUGUAUGUACCCUGAGAAUAAGGAUCGGCUAACUCCGUGCCAGCCGCCGC
Molecule: ribosomal RNA, 501 nt
Filed under: uncultured bacterium
Lineage: Bacteria
Description: bacterial SSU rRNA
Rfam family: Bacterial small subunit ribosomal RNA
Source: RNAcentral